This 496-nucleotide ribosomal RNA is filed under the name uncultured bacterium. RNAcentral describes it as "partial 16S ribosomal RNA". It matches the Rfam family "Bacterial small subunit ribosomal RNA", at positions 28 to 506 of the family's 1533-position model. The record is from RNAcentral.
GAUGAACGCUGGCGGCGUGCCUAAUACAUGCAAGUCGAGCGAACAGACGAGGAGCUUGCUCCUCUGACGUUAGCGGCGGACGGGUGAGUAACACGUGGAUAACCUACCUAUAAGACUGGGAUAACUUCGGGAAACCGGAGCUAAUACCGGAUAAUAUAUUGAACCGCAUGGUUCAAUAGUGAAAGACGGUUUUGCUGUCACUUAUAGAUGGAUCCGCGCCGCAUUAGCUAGUUGGUAAGGUAACGGCUUACCAAGGCGACGAUGCGUAGCCGACCUGAGAGGGUGAUCGGCCACACUGGAACUGAGGCACGGUCCAGACUCCUACGGGAGGCAGCAGUAGGGAAUCUUCCGCAAUGGGCGAAAGCCUGACGGAGCAACGCCGCGUGAGUGAUGAAGGUCUUCGGAUCGUAAAACUCUGUUAUUAGGGAAGAACAAAUGUGUAAGUAACUAUGCACGUCUUGACGGUACCUAAUCAGAAAGCCACGGCUAACUACGU